UAAAGUAUAACAUAAGCAAUGUGUUUCAUUUACACUGAUAAUAUGGAUAACUGAUCCUACUUUAA
Molecule: transfer RNA, 65 nt
Filed under: Chaetopleura apiculata
Lineage: Eukaryota; Metazoa; Mollusca; Polyplacophora; Chitonida; Chaetopleuridae
Description: tRNA-Val
Source: RNAcentral